AACGCGAAGAACCUUACCUGGUCUUGACAUCCCAGGAACCCUGAAGAGAUUUAGGGGUGCCGCAAGGAGCCUGGAGACAGGUGCUGCAUGGCUGUCGUCAGCUCGUGUCGUGAGAUGUUGGGUUAAGUCCCGCAACGAGCGCAACCCUUGUCCUUAGUUGCCAGCAUUAAGUUGGGCACUCUAAGGAGACCGCCGGUGACAAACCGGAGGAAGGUGGGGAUGACGUCAAGUCAUCAUGGCCUUUAUGACCAGGGCUACACACGUGCUACAAUGGUAGAUACAGAGGGUUGCCAACGCGCAAGCGGGAGCCAAUCCCAGAAAAUCUGUCGUAGUCCGGAUUGGAGUCUGCAACUCGACUCCUAUGAGGUCG
RNAcentral lists this ribosomal RNA (370 nucleotides) under uncultured bacterium. RNAcentral's name for it is "bacterial SSU rRNA". It matches the Rfam family "Bacterial small subunit ribosomal RNA", at positions 958 to 1328 of the family's 1533-position model. The record is from RNAcentral.